Molecule: long non-coding RNA, 659 nt
Organism: Anastrepha obliqua
Lineage: Eukaryota; Metazoa; Arthropoda; Insecta; Diptera; Tephritidae
Exons: 3
Source: RefSeq, a predicted model, not a curated record
AAGGCGAAUUUAUUAUAGGUGACAGCAACCACAUACACUAUAAGUAAAACCCUACAUGUAUUUGUUGUUGCAUUUGGUCCAAGCAUCACGUCAAAAUCAGCUGUUCAUUUUUAGUGUGAUUUGCUUGUGAAACGUACGCUGGAAAUAGUCACAAAAUAAAAAGUCGCCACAUUUCCUACAGUUUAUUGAAGAUUUCGUAUGUAGCAUAUAUGCAGUGUGGAUUUAUUAUGUGUGAAUUAAUUUUUCAAGGGCAUGCAUAAGGUGAAAUUGAAUGUAGAGAGUGAAGUUGGGGCGCGAAAAUGUUUAAAACAGAGAAACAUAACGCAAAAAACUUCGAAACAAGGGCAAAAUUAAAGUCUCAUUGCGUGCAGAAAGUAAUGCAAUUCUAUAUCCUCAUAGAAUAUUGAUGGCUAUUAGAAAUCCACCUUGGUUGCUAAUGACUACGAUGACUUCAUACUAAAUACUGUUGAGAUGCGCAUACCAUAUUGCAUAAAAAUGUUUGCUUCAUGUUUUUUGUGGAAAAUCGAUCGCUAUGAUUUACAUUUAAAACUGAACAGUGAAAAAUUCUGGAUAACAAAUUUGUAACAUGCUUGUGAAUUCAUUUUAUGUAUAUUAAUUCAACUUUAUUGAUGUUUAUAGCCUGUAUUUAGAACAUAAGU